Non-coding RNA from Ceratotherium simum simum (southern white rhinoceros), 90 nucleotides. Lineage: Eukaryota; Metazoa; Chordata; Mammalia; Perissodactyla; Rhinocerotidae. The record is from RefSeq and is a predicted model, not a curated record.
UUUCCCACACUCACUGCACACAUAAGGCCUUGCUCCUGUGUGAACCUCCUGGUGUCUAAUGAGCUUCCACCUAUUCUUAAAACAUUUCCC